CCUACGGGAGGCAGCAGUGGGGAAUAUUGCACAAUGGGGGAAACCCUGAUGCAGCAACGCCGCGUGAGUGAAGAAGUAUUUCGGUAUGUAAAGCUCUAUCAGCAGGGAAGAAAAUGACAGUACCUGACUAAGAAGCCCCGGCUAACUACGUGCCAGCAGCCGCGGUAAUACGUAGGGGGCAAGCGUUAUCCGGAUUUACUGGGUGUAAAGGGAGCGUAGAUGGCUGCGCAAGUCAGAAGUGAAAGCCCGGGGCUCAACCGCGGGACUGCUUUUGAAACUGUGUAGCUAGAGUGCAGGAGAGGUAAGUGGAAUUCCUAGUGUAGCGGUGGAAUGCGUAGAUAUUAGGAGGAACACCGGUGGCGAAGGCGGCUUACUGGACUGUAACUGACGUUGAGGCUCGAAAGCGUGGGGAGCAAACAGGAUUAGAUACCCGUGUAGUC
Molecule: ribosomal RNA, 440 nt
Filed under: uncultured bacterium
Lineage: Bacteria
Description: partial 16S ribosomal RNA
Rfam family: Bacterial small subunit ribosomal RNA
Source: RNAcentral